UCAACAAGCGCAUCUAAAGUUUGACCCCCCGAAACUAGGCGAGCUACUCUUAAACAGCCCCAGAGCCAACCCGUCUCCGUAGCAAAGGAGUGGGAAGAUUUAAAAGUAGAGGUGACACACCUACCGAGCCUAGAGAUAGCUGGUUACUUAGAAAAAGGAUCUAAGUCCCCCUUUAAGUUUCCCCAGUCCACCUAAACACCCAACAAACUUAAAAGUCAUUCAAAUAAGGUACAGCCUAUUUGAACAAGGACACAGCCUACAACUGAGGGUAACGCCCCCCCCCGUGGCCAGGUGGGCCUAAGAGCAGCCAGCCUUCAAAAAGCGUUCAAGCUUUACCACCAACCAUUAAUAAUCCCCCCCUCAACCCGCAACCCCAAACCACUACUAAGUAACCCCAUAYUUGCUAUGGGGGAUAUUCUGCUAGAACUAGUAACAAGAAGAAGAACUUCUCCUAAAUACAAGYAUAAGCCGUAAUGAACAGCUCACCGGCACUUACCGCCAACAGCCCACAGUAGCAACACCACAAGAAAACCCUACUGCACCUGACGUCAACCUUACACCAGACUAUUAGGAAAGAUUAAAGGGGAAGA
RNAcentral lists this ribosomal RNA (590 nucleotides) under Anodonthyla sp. 4 Ranomafana. RNAcentral describes it as "partial 16S ribosomal RNA". The stretch from base 1 to 424 matches the Rfam family "Bacterial large subunit ribosomal RNA", at positions 684 to 1301 of the family's 2925-position model. The record is from RNAcentral. Lineage: Eukaryota; Metazoa; Chordata; Amphibia; Anura; Microhylidae.